This 253-nucleotide ribosomal RNA is filed under the name uncultured bacterium. RNAcentral describes it as "partial 16S ribosomal RNA". It matches the Rfam family "Bacterial small subunit ribosomal RNA", at positions 524 to 776 of the family's 1533-position model. The record is from RNAcentral.
UACGAAGGGGGCUAGCGUUGUUCGGAAUUACUGGGCGUAAAGCGCGCGUAGGCGGCUUUGUAAGUCAGGUGUGAAAUCCCGGGGCUCAACCUCGGAACUGCCUUUGAUACUGCAAGUCUCGAGUCCGAUAGAGGUGAGUGGAAUUCCUAGUGUAGAGGUGAAAUUCGUAGAUAUUAGGAAGAACACCAGUGGCGAAGGCGGCUCACUGGAUCGGUACUGACGCUGAGGUGCGAAAGCGUGGGGAGCAAACAGG